Molecule: ribosomal RNA, 491 nt
Filed under: uncultured bacterium
Lineage: Bacteria
Description: partial 16S ribosomal RNA
Rfam family: Bacterial small subunit ribosomal RNA
Source: RNAcentral
GUGAACGCUGGCGGUAGGCCUAACACAUGCCAGUCGAACGGCAGCACAGUAAGAGCUUGCUCUUACGGGUGGCGAGUGGCGGACGGGUGAGGAAUACAUCGGAAUCUACUUUUUCGUGGGGGAUAACGUAGGGAAACUUACGCUAAUACCGCAUACGACCUACGGGCGAAAGCAGGGGAUCUUCGGACCUUGCGCGAUUGAAUGAGCCGAUGUCGGAUUAGCUAGUUGGCGGGGUAAAGGCCCACCAAGGCGACGAUCCGUAGCUGGUCUGAGAGGAUGAUCAGCCACACUGGAACUGAGACACGGUCCAGACUCCUACGGGAGGCAGCAGUGGGGAAUAUUGGACAAUGGGCGCAAGCCUGAUCCAGCCAUACCGCGUGGGUGAAGAAGGCCUUCGGGUUGUAAAGCCCUUUUGUUGGGAAAGAAAAGCAGCAGGUUAAUACCCCGCUGUUCUGACGGUACCCAAAGAAUAAGCACCGGCUAACUUCGUG